Molecule: ribosomal RNA, 306 nt
Filed under: uncultured bacterium
Lineage: Bacteria
Description: partial 16S ribosomal RNA
Rfam family: Bacterial small subunit ribosomal RNA
Source: RNAcentral
GACAGCAGCAGCCACGGGAAUACGGAGGGUGCAAGCGUUAAUCGGAAUUACUGGGCGUAAAGCGCACGCAGGCGGUUUGUUAAGUCAGAUGUGAAAUCCCCGAGCUUAACUUGGGAACUGCAUUUGAAACUGGCAAGCUAGAGUCUUGUAGAGGGGGGUAGAAUUCCAGGUGUAGCGGUGAAAUGCGUAGAGAUCUGGAGGAAUACCGGUGGCGAAGGCGGCCCCCUGGACAAAGACUGACGCUCAGGUGCGAAAGCGUGGGGAGCAAACAGGAUUAGAUACCCGUGUAGUCCCUGUCUCUUAUAA